UUUCUCUCCCCUUCUCCCCCUCUCUGGAGCUCACGGUCCCCUGCACACAAAAUUCGAACCAGACCACCGCCCACCCCUCUUUCCCUCCUGGGCUCAGCUCCCCGGCCUCCCGCAGCUCCUUUCCCCACGCCCCGCACCAAGCCCCGCGCUUUCAAGCGAGGGGGCGGGAGAAAGUCGUGUGUAUGUGUCCCCCCCCCUUCAGAGGGGGGCGAGAGAAGCUUAGGCUCGGGGCGGGGGGCGGCAGUGGGGGUGAGACGGGCUCGUUUCUCCUGCUCUCGUUCGCUCGCGGCCGCCCGCCCGCUCGCGGAAGACGAUUUCGGGGGAUCCAGGACCAGAUUUCGGCUGCGUGUGCGGGGGACCAGAAAGCCGAGCCAUCUGGCCCCCCGUCUGCACGGGGUGUGGAGAUGCGCUCCAGAGGUCAAUAAAGCCCCUCCAAAAAUGAUAAAUGACCGGGUACCUGCGAUGAUGCGAGUGAUUAUCGGAGCAAUUAAACCGUUUGAUUAAAUGAGCCGUCAUAACAAUGAUGGCUUCGGGAAAACCGCCCGCACAUAAAGGAGGCCGGUCCUGGGAGGGGAGAGGUGAUUCCGCUUCGCCGGCCGGGGCAAGGAGUCCGAGCCGGCCAGUCCGAGUCCGGGACCCGGGCCAGCGGCCACCGGGCCAGAGAAGUAGAGGAGAGCUGGAGCUGGUCUGAUGAUUGGUUUUCAAAAAGAAGACUCACCCGGCUCUUCUGAGCCUCUCUUAGCGCUAUCAAAGCCAGCAGGAGCGCGCACCUAAGGCAGCGUCCACCCGGAGUAUCGGGGUUCAUCUUUUCUGUCCUCCUUUCCCUCUUUCUAGGGGGCCCCCGCCCCGCCAAACCACCUCGGGGGCCUCGUCCCUUUACUCCCGGACGGGUGAGGAAAAGGUGAGUCCGGAAAAAGAGGAGAAAAAGCCGGCAGGUUCGCGGAUCUCGUUUCAAUGCCGGAACAGGGAUUUCUGUGAAUUCGCAGCAGCGGAGUUUUAGAAGACGGGUGAUUGUCACCGUUGCGGGCCACUUCGACUUCUCUCUCCUUCUCCCUCUCCCUCCCCAUCUCCUUCCGCCCGGAGAAAUUCUGAAACUUUUCCUUGAAAAAAAUCCAAAAACUAAAAAAAAAAAAAAAA
Ornithorhynchus anatinus (platypus) is the source of this 1137-nucleotide long non-coding RNA. RefSeq lists it as uncharacterized. The transcript has 2 exons. NCBI's taxonomy places the organism in Eukaryota, Metazoa, Chordata, Mammalia, Monotremata, Ornithorhynchidae. The record is from RefSeq and is a predicted model, not a curated record.